Molecule: long non-coding RNA, 546 nt
Organism: Passer domesticus (house sparrow)
Lineage: Eukaryota; Metazoa; Chordata; Aves; Passeriformes; Passeridae
Exons: 3
Source: RefSeq, a predicted model, not a curated record
UUCCAGCCCUGCUCAGGCUGCUCUCUCUCCUUCUCCACCAUCUGUGGCCAUGAGGAACAGCCAACUGUUGUCUCUCUGCUCCACAUGUAAGAAGAAUAAUCAAGUGCUCCCUUCUCUGAGGCACCUGCAGAAAAAGGGUGAAAGGUGGGAUCCAGAAAAUCUGCUGGCACCAGCUGCAACUUCUUCCACACAGAAAUGCUCCCAGGGAACAUCUGUUCUUCUUCAGGGACUUACAGAGCUUUUUGCCUCAGAUAAGCUGUUUCAUUUGCACCUUCAAAGGACACUUCAUUGAAUAUACAGAAUAUAUAUUGCUCUACACUCUGAAACAGUAACAUUAGCCCUGCUCAGCUGUCAAAAGCUGAGAAACAGAUUCUGCAGAUAUCACUCCUCCAGAGCUGUUAAUAAAUUGCCUCGGAGUCUGCUUGCAGAAGAAUAUGUGCGUGGCAGGAAGUCAGAAUUUGAAAUGAAGAUGUUUCUGAAGUUUGGAGGUUUCCUAAUCACACAUCUUCCCGUUUGCUCCGUGAGCACCGAAGCCCCUUGGCCUGA